This is a non-coding RNA of Phrynosoma platyrhinos (Desert horned lizard), 72 nucleotides long. The record is from the annotation of a GenBank genome assembly. NCBI's taxonomy places the organism in Eukaryota, Metazoa, Chordata, Lepidosauria, Squamata, Phrynosomatidae.
GGCAGUGUGGCAUAGUGGCUUGAGUGCUGGAUUGUGACUCUGGAGAUCAGAGUUUGAUUCCCACCUCAGCCG